This 361-nucleotide ribosomal RNA is filed under the name uncultured bacterium. RNAcentral's name for it is "bacterial SSU rRNA". It matches the Rfam family "Bacterial small subunit ribosomal RNA", at positions 1016 to 1390 of the family's 1533-position model. The record is from RNAcentral.
GCCUUCGGGCAGCGUAGACAGGUGCUGCAUGGCUGUCGUCAGCUCGUGUCGUGAGAUGUUGGGUUAAGUCCCGCAACGAGCGCAACCCGUGUUGCUAGUUACAAGUGUCUAGCGAGACUGCCGGUAACAAGCCGGAGGAAGGUGCGGAUGAUGUCAAGUCAGCAUGGCCUAUAUGUCCAGGGCUACACACACGCUACAAUGGCUGGUACAAAGAGAAGCGAAAGGGAGACCUGAAGCGAAUCUCAUCAAAGCCAGUCAUAGUUCGGAUUGCAGGCUGCAACUCGCCUGCAUGAAGUCGGAGUUGCUAGUAACCGCAGGUCAGCAAUACUGCGGUGAAUACGUUCCCGGGCCUUGUACACAC